RNAcentral lists this long non-coding RNA (1401 nucleotides) under Helianthus annuus (common sunflower). RNAcentral's name for it is "hypothetical non coding rna". The record is from RNAcentral. Lineage: Eukaryota; Viridiplantae; Streptophyta; Magnoliopsida; Asterales; Asteraceae.
GAAUUUAAUCCAAAACAUGGCUCCAUACAUUCAAUCAAUCCCAACCAUUUCCAUAAUGUGCGAAACUUGUAACACCAUAAAUACCGACACCCUCACCAUCUCGGCACCCCCACAACUCCGCAACACCUUCUCCUAACUUCGCACCAUCGUCGGAGAAGUCGAGAACGUCGGAAAACCUCCGCUCCGUUCUUUAUUUCAUUUCGCCGCAGCCCCGGAACUCGUAGACGACACCGGAGCCGUACGGGAUCACCGCGGAGAUCGUUCACUACGUUCGGUAUAAUUCUUCUAAUCCUUUUUUUUUCUUUUUUUUCAUUUCGAUAUGUUACAACUAUAAUUUCCUUCUUUGAUAUUAUAAGCUUUCAAGUAAAUGGCAAGUUAGAAAACUUGCAUAUUAGUCGAACAGGAUCUUGUUCUUUUCAAAUGACAAGUAAAAUGAAAAGCAACAGCAUUUUCUUAAACGCAUCCUACCUAUUGGAACUUUAACAAUUUUCUUUGUUUUAUUUUAGUUUUAUUUUUAAUUUGUUAAAUUCAAUAACAAUUUACAUAAAAUUUAGUGUAACUCCUUUAUAAUUAACGGGUUAUUAUUAGAUAAACCAUAAUAAUUAAUUUAUAAACAAUGUCGUUUAUUUUUAAUAAAUAAUUAAUGAGUUAUUCUAAUUCUUUAAACAUUAAUAAGGUGAUAAAAUAUACUUAAAUUGUAAAUCAUAAACAUUAGGGAAUAUAUUUAAUCUACAACUUGUAACGAAUUCGUUAUGUGUUAUUCUAAAUAUUUAGGGUAACCAUCCCGUUCGUUCCUUUGGAUUUUCCAUCUUACUCGUGCGUUAUUUACAAGAAAUCGCAACGCAAUCAAUGUGAGUAUACAUGACCCAUUUUCGUUUUACACUUUUGGGUGCAAUAUGUAUUCUAUAUCAAACAACACAAUCACGUUAAACAUUUUAUGCACACUCUAUCCUUACUCUAUGUGAUACAUUUUAAUCAUGUUGGACAUGUUAUGCUAUUGUAAACACUCAUGACUAUGUGUUCAUUAACUUUGCAAGCCUCCCCUAACAAUGGUAGCGCUAUAGGUUGAGAAACGCCCCUCCCGUUAUAUUAACGGGUAUUGUUAGGUUAAACUAUGUUAAAAACCACCCUUUUGGGUUGGACACGUUAAUUGCGUUAAACUUUGGUUUGGACAUAUAGAGUAACAUCGUUUCGAGUAUAUACUGUUUACAUGAUAUUGUAUUUCACAUUUGGAUAUGAGCAACAUUUUAAACACGUUGAAUGUUCAAGAAUCAAGAAACAAGCUAGGAUGGCUUUAGAAACCCAUUUUAGCAUUUUAGUUAAGGAUUGAAUUUAUGUUUGUUUAUUUGAGACAAUGUACCUUACUUUAGAAUUUAAUAAAAUGAUUUAAUUUAUAUUGUC